CCCUAGUAACGCGAGUGAAGCGGCAGCAGCCCAGAUUUGGAAUCUGGCCCCCUUGCGGGGCCCGAGUUGUAAUCUGCAGAGGAAGCGUCUGGCGCGGCGCCGGCCUAGUUCCCUGGAACGGGACGCCGUAGAGGGUGACAGCCCCGUACGGUCGGCCGCCAAGCCUGUGUGUCGCUCCUUCGAAGAGUCGCGUAGUUUGGGAAUGCUGCGCAAAGUGGGAGGUAUGCUCCUCCUAAGGCUAAAUACCGGCCAGAGACCGAUAGCGCACAAGUAGAGUGAUCGAAAGAUGAAAAGUACCUUGAAAAUGGGGUUAAACAGUACGUGAAAUUGCCAAAGGGGAAGCGCUCGUGGCCAGACUCGCGCCCGGCGGAUCAUCCGGCUCUCCCGCCGGUGCACUCUGCCGGGCUCGGGCCAGCGUCGGUCGGCGCCGGUACUGAAAGGCGGUGCGAACGUGGCUCCCUUCGGGGAGUGUUAUAGCGCGCCGCGUAAUGUGCUGGUGCCGUCCGAGGACCGCGCUUUAUGCAAGGACGCUGGCGUAAUGGCCACUAGCGGCCCGUCUUGAAACACGGACCAAGGAGUCGCCCAGAGGCGCGAGUGUGCGGGUGACAAACCCCUGCGCGUAGUGAAAGCGAACGCUGGUGGGAGCCCUCACGGGCGCACCACCGACCGAUCCUGAUGUCUUCGGAUGGAUUUGAGUAUGAGCGUCUCUGGUCGGACCCGAAAGAGGGUGAACUAUGCUUGGGUAGGGUGAAGCCAGAGGAAACUCUGGUGGAGGCCCCGUUUGGGUUAAACGUGCAAAUCGAUCCAUAAACCUGGGCAUAGCGGCGAAAGACUAAUCGAACCUUCUAGA
Molecule: ribosomal RNA, 850 nt
Filed under: Microthecium compressum
Lineage: Eukaryota; Fungi; Ascomycota; Sordariomycetes; Coronophorales; Ceratostomataceae
Description: LSU rRNA
Rfam family: Eukaryotic large subunit ribosomal RNA
Source: RNAcentral